Molecule: small RNA, 461 nt
Filed under: Pan troglodytes (chimpanzee)
Lineage: Eukaryota; Metazoa; Chordata; Mammalia; Primates; Hominidae
Description: processed transcript
Source: RNAcentral
GCAAAGAAACUUCCUUUUCUCGAGCGGGGGUGGGACUUGGCCGGGUCCCGAGGCCCCUGGCCGGCGGGCUCGGACGUUAGGAGCAGAACCAGCUCCAGGUCCCGGUCUGUCCGGGCGUCGCUGCCCUCUGAAGCUCAGGCCGGACACCCAGUCCCUGGCCGAACAAGGCGCCGCGGCCCACCCACCCCGGUACCCGCCGUCCGACCCCGUUGCCCUGCACCUGAGGAUGUUGUCAGCAUAGUAGAAUACGAUGGUGUCCCUUCUCCGACAAAAGGGAAUAUCUGGGCAUUAUCACUGCCAAAGAAAAAUGCCUUUUUGGUGGGUGAAAAUGCUACCUCAUCGCGUUAUUGGCAGAUCCUCGAUUAUCGGCGAGUCACUGAGGUUCCGAGAGGGGUGUCUCUGCUCACGCAAACUGCGACCCAGCCGCCUCCCACGGUCUGACCUCCGCCAAGGUGACGCGG